AAUAAAGUAAGCUAAAUUAUAAGCUGUUGGGUUCAUACCCCAAAAAUGAAUAUAAUUCCUUUAUUA
Molecule: transfer RNA, 66 nt
Filed under: Sepiadariidae sp. GS-2020
Lineage: Eukaryota; Metazoa; Mollusca; Cephalopoda; Sepiida; Sepiadariidae
Description: tRNA-Met
Source: RNAcentral